RNAcentral lists this ribosomal RNA (294 nucleotides) under uncultured eukaryote. RNAcentral's name for it is "partial 18S ribosomal RNA". It matches the Rfam family "Eukaryotic small subunit ribosomal RNA", at positions 1470 to 1796 of the family's 1831-position model. The record is from RNAcentral.
UGCUUAAGUGUUUUGGGUUGCGCACAGGCUACGGGGAUACCUUCAACGAAUCCACCGCCUUGGGACGGUGGGGUAGCCUCUGGAAAAUGCACAGUGAUGCGAGGAACUGUAAGCAUGCGUCAUCAGCCCGUGCUGAUUACGUCCCUGCUUGCUGCACACACCCCCCCAUCGCUCCCACCGAUUGAGGGAUCCAGUGAAUUACUCAGACUGUAUUGUAUUUGGUUUUUGGACGCAGCUUGCCAGCUACGGGAAGCUUUGUGAACUGACCACUUCGAAAAAGGAGACUUCGUGACA